AACCUGGUUGAUCCUGCCAGUAGUCAUACGCUCGUCUCAAAGAUUAAGCCAUGCAUGUCUAAGUAUAGAUACUUUUACUUUGAAACUGCGAACGGCUCAUUAUAUCAGUUAUAGUUUAUUUGAUAGUCCCUUACUACUUGGAUAACCGUAGUAAUUCUAGAGCUAAUACAUGCAUCAAUACCCAACUGUUCGCGGACGGGUAGUAUUUAUUAGAUAGAAACCAACCCUCUUCGGAGGCGCUCAGGUGAUUCAUGAUAACUCUGCGAAUCGCAUGGCCUCGUGCCGGCGAUGGAUCAUUCAAGUUUUCUGCCCUAUCAGCUUUGGAUGGUAGGGUAUUGGCCUACCAUGGCUUUAACGGGUAACGGAUAAUUAGGGUUAGAUUCCGGAGAGGGGGCCAUGAGAGAUGGCCACCACAUCCAAGGA
This 423-nucleotide ribosomal RNA is filed under the name uncultured marine eukaryote. RNAcentral's name for it is "SSU rRNA". It matches the Rfam family "Eukaryotic small subunit ribosomal RNA", at positions 1 to 422 of the family's 1831-position model. The record is from RNAcentral.